This 237-nucleotide ribosomal RNA is filed under the name uncultured bacterium. RNAcentral's name for it is "partial 16S ribosomal RNA". It matches the Rfam family "Bacterial small subunit ribosomal RNA", at positions 100 to 334 of the family's 1533-position model. The record is from RNAcentral.
CCGGCACGGGUGAGUAACACGUAUCCAACCUGUCGUCUACUCUUGGACAGCCUUCUGAAAGGAAGAUUAAUACAAGAUGGCAUCAUGAGUUCACAUGUUCACAUGAUUAAAGGUAUUCCGGUAGACGAUGGGGAUGCGUUCCAUUAGAUAGUAGGCGGGGUAACGGCCCACCUAGUCUUCGAUGGAUAGGGGUUCUGAGAGGAAGGUCCCCCACAUUGGAACUGAGACACGGUCCAA